RNAcentral lists this ribosomal RNA (253 nucleotides) under uncultured bacterium. RNAcentral's name for it is "partial 16S ribosomal RNA". It matches the Rfam family "Bacterial small subunit ribosomal RNA", at positions 524 to 776 of the family's 1533-position model. The record is from RNAcentral.
UACGAAGGGAGCUAGCGUUGUUCGGAAUUACUGGGCGUAAAGCGCACGUAGGCGGAUAGUUAAGUGAGGGGUGAAAUCCUGAGGCUCAACCUCAGAACUGCCUCUCAUACUGGCUGUCUUGAGUUCGAGAGAGGUUGGUGGAAUUCCUAGUGUAGAGGUGAAAUUCGUAGAUAUUAGGAAGAACACCGGUGGCGAAGGCGGCCAACUGGCUCGAUACUGACGCUGAGGUGCGAAAGCGUGGGGAGCAAACAGG